Molecule: ribosomal RNA, 256 nt
Filed under: uncultured bacterium
Lineage: Bacteria
Description: partial 16S ribosomal RNA
Rfam family: Bacterial small subunit ribosomal RNA
Source: RNAcentral
UGGCGGACGGGUGAGUAAUGUCUGGGAAACUGCCUGAUGGAGGGGGAUAACUACUGGAAACGGUAGCUAAUACCGCAUAACGUCGCAAGACCAAAGAGGGGGACCUUCGGGCCUCUUGCCAUCGGAUGUGCCCAGAUGGGAUUAGCUUGUUGGUGGGGUAACGGCUCACCAAGGCGACGAUCCCUAGCUGGUCUGAGAGGAUGACCAGCCACACUGGAAUUGAGACACGGUCCAGACUCCUACGGGAGGCAGCAUG